RNAcentral lists this unclassified non-coding RNA (349 nucleotides) under soil metagenome. RNAcentral's name for it is "partial contains 5.8S ribosomal RNA, internal transcribed spacer 2, and large subunit ribosomal RNA". The stretch from base 1 to 121 matches the Rfam family "5.8S ribosomal RNA", at positions 35 to 154 of the family's 154-position model. The record is from RNAcentral.
GAUGAAGAACGCAGCGAAAUGCGAUAAGUAAUGCGAAUUGCAGAAUUUCCGUGAGUCAUCGAAUCUUUGAACGCACAUUGCGCCCACUGGUAUUCCGGCGGGCAUGCCUGUUCGAGCGUCAUUUCAACCCUCAAGCCCCCGGGUUUGGUGUUGGGGAUCGGCUCUGCCCUUCUGGGCGGUGCCGCCCCCGAAAUACAUUGGCGGUCUCGCUGCAGCCUCCAUUGCGUAGUAGCUAACACCUCGCAACUGGAACGCGGCGCGGCCAUGCCGUAAAACCCCAACUUCUGAAUGUUGACCUCGGAUCAGGUAGGAAUACCCGCUGAACUUAAGCAUAUCAAUAAGCGGAGGA